UACGUAGGGUGCAAGCGUUGUCCGGAAUUAUUGGGCGUAAAGAGCUCGUAGGUGGCCUGUCGCGUCGGCUGUGAAAACUCGGGGCUCAACUCCGAGCUUGCAGUCGAUACGGGCAGGCUAGAGUUCGGCAGGGGAGACUGGAAUUCCUGGUGUAGCGGUGGAAUGCGCAGAUAUCAGGAGGAACACCGGUGGCGAAGGCGGGUCUCUGGGCCGAUACUGACGCUGAGGAGCGAAAGCGUGGGGAGCGAACAGG
RNAcentral lists this ribosomal RNA (253 nucleotides) under uncultured bacterium. RNAcentral describes it as "partial 16S ribosomal RNA". It matches the Rfam family "Bacterial small subunit ribosomal RNA", at positions 524 to 776 of the family's 1533-position model. The record is from RNAcentral.